UUUAUCGGAGAGUUUGAUCCUGGCUCAGGACGAACGCUGGCGGCGUGCCUAAUACAUGCAAGUCGAGCGGACUUGAUAGGAGCUUGCUUCUAUUCAAGUUAGCGGCGGACGGGUGAGUAACACGUGGGUAAC
This 132-nucleotide ribosomal RNA is filed under the name Bacillaceae bacterium SAOS 7. RNAcentral's name for it is "partial 16S ribosomal RNA". It matches the Rfam family "Bacterial small subunit ribosomal RNA", at positions 1 to 125 of the family's 1533-position model. The record is from RNAcentral. Lineage: Bacteria; Bacillati; Bacillota; Bacilli; Caryophanales; Bacillaceae.